ACACACACACACACACACACACACACACACACACACACACACACACACCGGCAAAAACACAAAGAGGAAAGAUGGAGUAGGGGGGAUUAUAAGAGGAGAGAAGGGAGCCAGAUGUUGAGACAGAAGCAGGAGAAGAAAAGGGAAAGUGAUGGAGAGAGACGGAGGGAGCGAGGUAUGCGGGGUUUUCUAGGAGGCUGACCUAGAUAGACGGAGAGGAUUGGACACACUUUGUCUCUGGAGGGACACUGUCACAGCUGCAGCGAACUGCGCGUGUACGAGUGUGUGUGUGCAUGUUUAUAUAU
Molecule: long non-coding RNA, 302 nt
Organism: Salarias fasciatus (jewelled blenny)
Lineage: Eukaryota; Metazoa; Chordata; Actinopteri; Blenniiformes; Blenniidae
Exons: 3
Source: RefSeq, a predicted model, not a curated record